AUUGAACGCUGGCGGCAUGCCUUACACAUGCAAGUCGAACGGCAGCACGGGAGCAAUCCUGGUGGCGAGUGGCGAACGGGUGAGUAAUAUAUCGGAACGUGCCCAGUCGUGGGGGAUAACGUAGCGAAAGCUACGCUAAUACCGCAUACUAUCUAUGGAUGAAAGCGGGGGAUCGCAAGACCUCGCGCGAUUGGAGCGGCCGAUAUCAGAUUAGGUAGUUGGUGAGGUAAAGGCUCACCAAGCCGACGAUCUGUAGCUGGUCUGAGAGGACGACCAGCCACACUGGGACUGAGACACGGCCCAGACUCCUACGGGAGGCAGCAGUGGGGAAUUUUGGACAAUGGGCGCAAGCCUGAUCCAGCAAUGCCGCGUGCAGGAUGAA
Molecule: ribosomal RNA, 382 nt
Filed under: uncultured bacterium
Lineage: Bacteria
Description: bacterial SSU rRNA
Rfam family: Bacterial small subunit ribosomal RNA
Source: RNAcentral